RNAcentral lists this ribosomal RNA (500 nucleotides) under uncultured bacterium. RNAcentral describes it as "partial 16S ribosomal RNA". It matches the Rfam family "Bacterial small subunit ribosomal RNA", at positions 29 to 523 of the family's 1533-position model. The record is from RNAcentral.
AUUGAACGCUGGCGGCAUGCCUUACACAUGCAAGUCGAACGGCAGCACGGGUGCUUGCACCUGGUGGCGAGUGGCGAACGGGUGAGUAAUACAUCGGAACGUACCUUAUCGUGGGGGAUAACGCAGCGAAAGCUGUGCUAAUACCGCAUACGCCCUGAGGGGGAAAGCGGGGGAUCGAAAGACCUCGCGCGAUUAGAGCGGCCGAUGCCUGAUUAGCUUGUUGGGGGGGUAAAAGCCCACCAAGGCGACGAUCAGUAGCUGGUCUGAGAGGACGAUCAGCGACACUGGGACUGAGACACGGCCCAGACUCCUACGGGAGGCAGCAGUGGGGAAUUUUGGACAAUGGGGCAACCCUGAUCCAGCAAUGCCGCGUGAGUGAAGAAGGCCUUCGGGUUGUAAAGCUCUUUUGUCAGGGAAGAAACACCGGCUCUAACACAGUCCGGGAAUGACGGUACCUGAAGAAUAAGCACCGGCUAACUACGUGCCAGCCGCCGCCGUAA